Molecule: transfer RNA, 73 nt
Filed under: Ovis aries (sheep)
Lineage: Eukaryota; Metazoa; Chordata; Mammalia; Artiodactyla; Bovidae
Rfam family: tRNA
About the family: Transfer RNA (tRNA) molecules are approximately 80 nucleotides in length.
Source: Rfam by way of RNAcentral
UCCCUGGUGGCUCACAUGGUAAAAGCGUCUGCUUGCAAUGCAGGAGACCUGGGUUCGAUCCCUGGGUGAGGAA